CCAGACUCCUACGGGAGGCAGCAGUAGGGAAUCUUUCACAAUGGGCGAAAGCCUGAUGGAGCAACGCCGCGUGCAGGAUGAAGGCCUUCGGGUUGUAAACUGCUUUUAUAAGCGAGAAAUAUGAUGGUAACUUAUGAAUAAGGAUCGGCUAACUACGUGCCAGCAGCCGCGGUAAUACGUAGGGGGCAAGCGUUAUCCGGAUUUACUGGGUGUAAAGGGGGCGCAGACGGCAGCGCAAGCCAGGAGUGAAAGCCCGGGGCGCAACCCUGGGACUGCUCUGGAAACUGUAAAGCUGGAGUGCGGGAGGGGCAGGCGGAAUUCCUGGUGUAGCGGUGAAAUGCAUAGAUAUCGCGCAGAACCCCGAUUGCGAAGGCAGCGUGCCGUGCCGCCACUGACGCUGAGGCACGAAAGCGCGGGGAUCGAACAGGAUUAGAUACCCCCGUA
This 444-nucleotide ribosomal RNA is filed under the name uncultured bacterium. Its description in RNAcentral is "partial 16S ribosomal RNA". It matches the Rfam family "Bacterial small subunit ribosomal RNA", at positions 331 to 792 of the family's 1533-position model. The record is from RNAcentral.